ACAAUAAUGAUUCUUCUAAGUUACACGUCAUUUCAGUUUUAUCAAAGUCGUUUCAUUUAUUGGAUUCUGAAAUAUAAAUCAAGUUCGUUAAUAUGAGACUGUUAAAAUAUAGAUGGAAGUUUAAGAUUUCUUUUUAGCAAUUUGGUAUUUGAUAUACCUGAAUUGAAAAUCUAGUUCUAAAGGCCACUGACAGUUCAGAUUACUGUAAAAAAUAGAAACAGUUCAUGUGUACAUUGCAUGUGUUUUAUGUAAAGCUGUUCUGCUUUCUGUCCAUCAGCUCUUGCUAACCAUUUCAGUACUUCUGCAUUUGGGCUUAUUAGAUCUGAUGGUGGGUGGUGCUCAUAUUCUUAAAACAUCUUAAGAUAUAAGCAUACAUAUAGUGAACAGCGUUUUAGUUAACAAUAGGUUGCUCAAG
This 415-nucleotide long non-coding RNA is filed under the name Bos taurus (domestic cattle). RNAcentral describes it as "long non-coding RNA NONBTAT024955". The record is from RNAcentral. Lineage: Eukaryota; Metazoa; Chordata; Mammalia; Artiodactyla; Bovidae.